RNAcentral lists this long non-coding RNA (478 nucleotides) under Triticum aestivum (bread wheat). RNAcentral describes it as "long non-coding RNA (TAES_LNC003037)". Lineage: Eukaryota; Viridiplantae; Streptophyta; Magnoliopsida; Poales; Poaceae. The record is from RNAcentral.
AGCGAGAUGCAUAAUUGGUCUACUAGUUCUCAGACAGGCAAAACUGUGCCCCAAUCCCCAAGAAGUACACACUUCUGAUGAUUUCAAUUGACAGGCACAAGUGAUUAGCCACAAUUCAUCGCAACAACAAGGUAAAUGGAAACACAAAGGGCACCAUAAUUAAACAUGUAGGGUACUUCGGCAGAUCUAACUCGUCAGGUAGCAACCACAACCUCUUUGUUACACACCAAAACCAUCUGAUCUGAUCUGAGACGAGGAAGAAACAGGAACCGGGUUGAUCAGGCGGACGCGGAGGCGGCGGUGCGGGAGCGGUAGAGCUUGCCGAAGACGUGGAGGGCGGUGACGAAGCCGAUGAAGCAGACGGACAUGACGAGCACCAUGGUCGGGGAGAGGCGCAGCCCCGGGGCCUCGUCGGUGUAGAAGCGCAGCAUGUUGUUCCCUCCGCCGCCGGAGAAGCCUCCGCCACCGGACGCGGAGG